AGGAUCUUCCACCUCGGCUCAUGUACUGAUAUGAUUUGUGUUGAUACAUGAUUCUCAACAAACUAUACUACCAAACUUUUUCACGAAAUGUGUAGUACCAGUUGGUGUGAUAUCAUGUCCUCAGCAAUGCCCUCGAUGGAACGACCAUGACCAUGUUGUUGCCUGGACUCCUUUUUCAUGAUGAUGUCGCUCUUCGUCAUCCAUAGUUUAUGCGGUGGAGCGUCAAAGACCUCAGCGUGUUAUAGGAGAAGACCAUGAAGAUCAGCAAGAAAGAUGUAGGUGGUGUGCUUGAAUUCUUCUAGGAUUUUUGAACGAGCGCUUGAUUUUUUCCCGCUAUUUCAUGUCAUCAAUUUGUGUUGCAUUGCACAUGUGUCAAAUAGGUUGAUCAAGGAAGGUUCGACACUGUGAUGUGAGUUGAAACACAAGCAUGGCCUGCAAUCGACGCCCACCAUACUUGUGCCUCACAAGCAGCAAUUUUUCACAUUCUUGAUGAUAUUUGUCGGUGCCCUCUUCUCAUCUAUCCCGACAAUCUCGGUAUCCAGGCAAGGUAUGUCUAUGUCAGUUGAACUACGACUCGAUUUACAACAAUUCCAAGCUUUUUUCUAUAUCUGCAAAUUGGGUGGACUAUGGUAUGAGUCAGUUUAUAAGCAAACAUGGUGUACAUGAAUCUUUGUUGGUGUGAACUAUCAAAAGCAUUUCCUGCUAUUGCUACCUCUGUUUCAUCUUCUAAAUCUAGAGUCUAGACUUGGAUAUUAUGUAGAAACAAUCUGCUCAUGAGAAAAGUAUGGCUGAGAGUAAUACUGGAUGUAUGCAUAAUACUGGGACAAGAUAUUUACCUGCCAUUAUCCCAGAAGGGAAAAACAUAUACAUAAUACUAAACUGCCAUAAAAAAUAUAUGAGGGCUUAGAUCAUCGUUGAGUUCAAAUUUUUAUCUUUAUUAUCAUCCCAAUAAAACAUGGUUUUGCUAAUUGACUAUAUAUUAUCAAAUGUUUGAAAUGGUAAAGAAAGUGCAUAGUGCCAAUGUCGUACCUCAUCUAUUCUAUCUGUAUUGCAUCUUCUCUUUAUUUUGAAUAGAUGGGUUUAUUUUGAUUUAUGAACUAGUAGUUAACUUUGUCUAUUUCUGUUACAAACUACAGAGAGCCUUGCAAAAUUCAUGGACGUUGUUUCCUCUUGGAACUGUCCUAACUAUGCCAUGAUCACUGUCGAACAUUGCUCGACAGACUUCUCUGCUUACCAACUCUAUAUUUUUCUAGGUUUUCUUGUGAAAAUUGAUGAUACCCCAAUGUAGAGCCUUACAUGUUCAGUUUAGGUAACACGCCUUCUGAUAUUGUUACCUUGAAAUAACAACUGUAGCCGUUGUUGGUUGACAGAUUUCAGACGAUAACCUGAAUGUAGGCAUUGAACACAACAAGGUCAGGAUAUGAUAAUGGCCCAAGGUCGUGCCGACAAAUCUGAAAAUACUGUGGAACAAAAUAAUAAUCUGGCAAUGUCCCAAGAGAGCUGUUUGUUCUUGGAUUUUUAUACCCUCAUGUUAAUACUUAGCUGCUACAAUUUUUAUUGUUCUUCUCAUUAUAUGUACCUAAUAAUGAUUUAGUUCAUUUCUGGAUUAUUGGACUAAAUUACGCUGCCUACUUUCUGUAGCUUACAGCCUUCCACUUCGUAAGGAAUUGGGGCACUACACUCCCAUUUGUUAAUUGUUACGCCUGGUGUAUGCCUGUACGAGUACUCAAUGUUGUUGUCUGAUCUCUGUACAUUUGUUUGAGCGCCACACGAUCUCAUGAAAGAUUUGUAUUGGUCAUCUUAGUCCAAAUUGAUAAUGUUGUGUUCUUUUCAUACGACCUAGAGUAGAUAUGGUUCCGCUGUCGAAAGAUACGGAAUGACACAGACCAG
This 1890-nucleotide long non-coding RNA is filed under the name Triticum aestivum (bread wheat). Its description in RNAcentral is "long non-coding RNA (TAES_LNC019712)". Lineage: Eukaryota; Viridiplantae; Streptophyta; Magnoliopsida; Poales; Poaceae. The record is from RNAcentral.